This 618-nucleotide long non-coding RNA is filed under the name Takifugu rubripes (torafugu). RNAcentral's name for it is "lncRNA (ENSTRUG00000029133.1)". The record is from RNAcentral. Lineage: Eukaryota; Metazoa; Chordata; Actinopteri; Tetraodontiformes; Tetraodontidae.
AUGGCUGCAAAGAUGACUACCGAAGUUACAGUAGAGGUUCACCAUAUGCCAAUUUAUCCUGUCAGCGCCGAUGAGUUUGAAGGAAUAACCCUCACGCAAACAGACAUUGAUCUGUUAGCCAGGGCUGAAAGAUUGGUAUCCGAAGACAACCAAGAAACUGAAAAAGCAGUAAAAGCAUUGCUGUGUUCUGAAACCCCACCCCCCGUGCAGGGGACAAAUUGCUGUGUAACUGAAAUUGGUGAAAUUGAGAUUGAGAGCAGACCCUCGGCACUUCAACAUGGGACUGACUCAAGUAAGCAGACGAACAAACUCUCCAGAAGACGUGUGAGACAGCCAGGAGGACCGAAGUCGACUGUACAAGAACCAUCAAAACAGAACCUUCAAACGUGCGCCUCUCUGAGCACUGUGACUCCCACGGCAGCUCCACUCUCCCGUGAACCUUCUGCCCCUGCGAGGAGACGUAGAAUACGGCAAGCGUGUACCACUCUGACCCCUGUACUUACAGCGGCACCAGAUCCUUUCGAACCUGCGAGGCCGAUAAGGAGACGUAGGAACCAGAGACACAAGUCUAACAUUGUUAGGAGAUUGUUUGAUGGUAUAUUUUAUACUAUAUCUUCU